This 253-nucleotide ribosomal RNA is filed under the name uncultured bacterium. RNAcentral's name for it is "partial 16S ribosomal RNA". It matches the Rfam family "Bacterial small subunit ribosomal RNA", at positions 524 to 776 of the family's 1533-position model. The record is from RNAcentral.
UACAGAGGGACCUAGCGUUUUUCGGAUUUAUUGGGCGUAAAGAGCGCGUAGGCGGUUUGUUAAGUUGAUAGUAAAAUUCUUGAGCUCAACUCAAGUAUGUAUAUCAAAACUAACAAACUAGAGUUCGGUAGAGGAUGAUGGAAUUCUUGGUGUAGGGGUGAAAUCCUUAGAUAUCAGGAGGAACACCAGUGGCGAAAGCGAUCAUCUGGGCCGUAACUGACGUUCAUGCGCGAAAGCGUGGGUAGCAAACAGA